RNAcentral lists this ribosomal RNA (301 nucleotides) under uncultured bacterium. RNAcentral's name for it is "partial 16S ribosomal RNA". It matches the Rfam family "Bacterial small subunit ribosomal RNA", at positions 509 to 807 of the family's 1533-position model. The record is from RNAcentral.
CAGUCGCCACGGGAAUACGGAGGGUGCAAGCGUUAAUCGGAAUUACUGGGCGUAAAGCGCACGCAGGCGGUUUGUUAAGUCAGAUGUGAAAUCCCCGAGCUUAACUUGGGAACUGCAUUUGAAACUGGCAAGCUAGAGUCUUGUAGAGGGGGGUAGAAUUCCAGGUGUAGCGGUGAAAUGCGUAGAGAUCUGGAGGAAUACCGGUGGCGAAGGCGGCCCCCUGGACAAAGACUGACGCUCAGGUGCGAAAGCGUGGGGAGCAAACAGGAUUAGAGACCCGCGUAGUCCCUGUCUCUUAUAC